RNAcentral lists this long non-coding RNA (510 nucleotides) under Zonotrichia albicollis (white-throated sparrow). RNAcentral's name for it is "lncRNA (ENSZALG00000007881.1)". The record is from RNAcentral. Lineage: Eukaryota; Metazoa; Chordata; Aves; Passeriformes; Passerellidae.
AAAUGAACUGAAGUAAAUGAAAUGAAGUAAAAAAACAAAGUGUGUUAACGCCUUUUCCAGCUGGAUUAUAAAUCCAAAUAAAAAGAUAACCUGACAAAACUUUUCUGUUGCUGUUUCUGGCAAAACAUACCCCUUCUCAGAUUCUAAAAGUUUCGAAGAAUGAAAGUGCUAUUAAAAGGAAUUUUUUUCUGUUCUUUUAUUUUACCUCAUUCUUGUGCUAUGGUAAAAUGAAAUAAUUUUUUAAAUUUUUUCCCGAGAGCCAUUUCACUCAGGACGACUAAUGAUGCUGUGACACCUGCUGUGACCAAAAGACCUUCACUGGAAUGAGGAAUCAUCUUGAAGUCUAAAGAGCUGGACUCCGAUGUAGAAGCAAAAGCUGGGAGCUGCCUGAUUCUUAAUGCGUCAGGAAAACUAAGUGCAUUUCUGGCAAAACUGAGAAGAAGGCCUUCCUAUACCACCAGCAUAUUAAGAGAUGUAGAAACUACCAUCAGCCUGCAUGCAGCAAGAUGA